RNAcentral lists this ribosomal RNA (423 nucleotides) under uncultured eukaryote. RNAcentral describes it as "bacterial SSU rRNA". It matches the Rfam family "Eukaryotic small subunit ribosomal RNA", at positions 592 to 1013 of the family's 1831-position model. The record is from RNAcentral.
CAAUAGCGUAUAUUAAAGUUGUUGCGGUUAAACGCUCGUAGUUGGAUUUCUGUCAGGGGCGUCCGGUCCUCGCUUUGCGAGUGUUAUCUGGUUCGACUUUGGCAUCCUCUUGGGGUGCUGCUGCGCUUUACUGCUGUGGUGGGGAAGUUCGAAGAUCAUUUACUUUUGUAGGGAAAUUAGAGUGUUUACGGCAGGCAAACGCCUUGAAUACAUUAGCAUGGAAUAAUAAUAUAGGACCUGAGUUCUAUUUUGUUGGUUUCUAGAGCUUAGGUAAUGAUUAAUAGGGACACCUGGGGGCAGUUCGUAUUAACGCGUCAGAGGUGAAAUUCUUGGAUUGCGUUACGACGAACUUCGGCGAAAGCAUUUGCCAAGGAUGUUUUCAUUGAUCAAGAACGAAAGUUAGGGGAUCGAAGAUGAUCAGAU